Non-coding RNA from Kogia breviceps (pygmy sperm whale), 4576 nucleotides. Lineage: Eukaryota; Metazoa; Chordata; Mammalia; Artiodactyla; Physeteridae. The record is from RefSeq and is a predicted model, not a curated record.
CGACGGACAGGUGGGAGCAGUUAGACAGCUGGAGUCUCGGAGACCGGCACGCAGAGAGAGGGAGGGAGAGUCAGGGGAAGGAGAGAGAGAGAGGAGGGCGAGGGAGAAGCAGCCUCGUGCUCCCUUCCUCCAGACGGCCUCUCUCCUCUGUCCAAGGGAAGCGGCUGGGGCAUCGAGUGACAGAGCGACAGAGAUGCGGGCACAGAAGACGGGGAGAGGGGCCCUGCCUCGCUAGUGGGACCGAGACUCGCGGAGGGAUAGACCGACGCGAGGGGGCAGCUCGGAGACCUGAGCGCGGGACGGCGAGAAGCCCGCGCUGGGCUGCCAGGCUGAGCGACGGACGGCCAGACAGACAGACGUGCCCGGGGACGGACCGGCAGACAGGAGGCGGGGGCACGCUCGCUCUCCGCAGGCAGCAGGGCGGAGAAGGCGGCGGCGGCGCUCCCUGAGCGCCUCCGGAGCAGCGACGAGCAGCAGGGGCCGCGGGGUCGCCGGCUGAAGCCACCGCCGUCGCCGCAGUCCUGGCCGCCGCAGCCCUGCCAGGAGCCCCGCCGACGCCGCAGAAGGCUCCUUUUACUAGCAGUUAAAUAAACCCACCAAUAAUAACAAUAAUACUAAUAACCCAAGCCAAACCAAACAAAUACAGCCAAAUCGAUCCGUGAGAAACAAUAAUAUUAAUAAAAGCCAAAAACUAAAUCAGAUCAAUCAAGGCACCGAGACGCUGGGGGGAUAUCCACUGUUCGGUCAAGGUGGAUGAUGUGUCAGGCUGUGUAAGGGAAUCGCAUGGAGAUGGGCGUUUUGAACUGUUAAUGGGGACAUGGGACUCCCGCUGUCUCUGAUCCCUCGUGUGGAUUUUCCCGACGUAGAAGGACAGAAGCCGCUCGUAAGUCGCCAAGACCGACAGCAGAAAUUCUGCGCAAAAGGGUGUCAAAUCUUGUUAUUUUAAUUUGCAUCUGGGAGAAUGUCUGAGCCAGGAGACCUGAGUCAGACCAUAGUGGAGGAAGGCGGGCCUGAGCAGGAGACGGCCACUCCAGAGAAUGGCGUGGUUAAAUCCGAAAGUCUGGACGAGGAGGAGAAACUGGAAUUACAGAGGCAACUGGCGGCUCAGAACCAAGAGAGAAGAAAAUCCAAGUCAGGAGCAGGGAAAGGUAAACUGACUCGCAGCCUUGCUGUCUGUGAAGAAUCCUCAGCCAGACCAGGAGGGGAAAGUCUUCAGGACCAGGAAUCAAUUCAUUUACAGCUUUCCAGUUUUCCCAGCCUGCAAGAGGAUGAUAAAUCUAGGAAAGAUGACUCUGAAAGAGAAAAAGAAAAGGAUAAAAACAAAGAUAAAACCUGUGAAAAACCCAAGAUCAGAAUGUUAUCAAAAGAUUGCAGCCAAGAAUAUACGGAUUCUACAGGCAUAGACUUACACGAGUUUCUGAUUAACACAUUAAAGAAUAAUUCCAGAGACAGGAUGAUACUCUUGAAAAUGGAGCAGGAAAUUAUUGAUUUCAUUGGUGACAACAAUAAUCAUUAUAAAAAGUUUCCUCAGAUGUCGUCCUAUCAGAGGAUGCUUGUCCAUCGAGUGGCAGCUUACUUUGGGUUGGACCACAACGUGGAUCAAACAGGGAAAUCUGUCAUCAUCAACAAAACCAGCAACACAAGAAUACCAGAGCAAAGGUUUUGUGAACAUUUAAAAGAUGAAAAAGGUGAAGAAUCCCAGAAGCGGUUUAUCUUGAAGCGAGAUAACUCUAGUAUUGAUAAAGAAGACACUCAGCAAAACAGAAUGCAUCCAUUUAGAGAUGACAGACGAAGUAAAUCAAUUGAAGAGAGAGAAGAGGAAUAUCAGAGAGUGAGGGAGAGAAUAUUUGCACACGAUUCAGUUUGCUCCCAGGAAAGCCUUUUUGUGGAAAACAGUAGGCUCUUGGAAGACAGUAACAUAUGCAGUGAGACCUAUAAGAAAAGACAGCUCUUUCGGGGCAACAGAGACAGCUCGGGGAGAACAUCUGGAAGUCGGCAGAGCAGCUCGGAGAAUGAACUCAAGUGGUCCGACCACCAAAGAGCCUGGAGCAGCACAGAUUCUGACAGCUCCAACCGCAAUCUCAAGCCUGCCAUGACCAAGACGGCGAGUUUUGGGGGCAUCACGGUGCUGACCAGGGGUGACAGCACAUCCAGUAGCAGGAGUACCGGGAAACUGUCCAAAGCAGGUAGUUCUGAGUCCUCCAGCAGUGCAGGCUCCUCAGGAUCGCUGUCGCGUACCCAUCCACCUCUCCAGAGCACACCGCUGGUCUCCAGCGUGACAGCCACUUCUCCCGGCUGUGUGACCUACCCAGAGAAUGGGAUGGGAGGCCAGGUCGCUCACAGCAGCACCAGCUACAUCCUCCUUCCACUCGAAGCUGCCACAGGCAUCCCACCCGGAAGCAUCCUUCUUAAUCCACAUACAGGCAUCUGGAUGAGGGAGUCAGAAGCUCUGACUCAAAGCUAUCCCUGGACCACAUCUUCAUCCUUGCCAGGCCAGCCCUUCGUGAAUCCCGAUGGAACCCCCGCCAUAUACAACCCCCCCACCAGCCAGCAGCCCCUGCGAAGCGCGAUGGUGGGGCAGCCCCAGCAGCAGCCCCAGCAGCAGCCCUCCCCGCGGCCCCAGCAGCAGGCCCAGCCACCCCAGACGCAAAUGGCAGGCCCAUUGGUCACUCAGUCUGUCCAGGGGCUGCAGGCUUCCUCCCAGUCAGUGCAAUACCCAGCUGUGUCUUUUCCUUCCCAGCAUCUCCUGCCCGUGUCUCCGACGCCGCAGUUCCCCAUGAGAGAGGAUGUGACCACGCAGUUUGGCCAGAUGAACCUGAGCCGGCAGUCCUCGGGGGAGACUCCCGAGCCCCCAGCCGGCCCUGUCUACACACCAUCCCUCCUGCCGCAGCCCACCCAGCAGCCAAGCUACGUCAUUGCCUCCACAGGCCAGCAGCUCCCAACGGGAGCCUUCUCGGGCUCUGGCCCUCCCAUCUCUCAGCAAGUACUCCAGCCCCCUCCCUCGCCCCAGGGAUUUGUGCAACAGCCUCCACCCACACAGAACAUCACCAGCUCAACUCAUCUCGCUCUUCUGGUCCAUACUGAUAUUCCCAGCCUACAGGACCCGGUUUGUGGCAUUCAUCAGUUGUGUGAAGUCUUGGGGGCUCAGAAAAUGCCUGUAUAUUAUUAUCCAUCUGGUCAGUACCCUACCUCAACCACGCAGCAGUACCGGCCCAUGGCCUCUGUUCAGUUCAGUGCUCCGAGGGGCCAGCAGAUGCCGCAGACAGCACAGCAAGCAGAUGCAUUCUAUCUACUCAUCCUCAAUAAAUAUGAAAAACUGAUCAUUUCACAGCUAAGAAUUGACAAACGGGAACACAUUUCUCAUUUGAAUGGACGAGAUAAGCAGGUUGCCACCAGCCAGUGCUGCCACCUCUGCCUUCAGGCAAGCUGUGUCCCCGGUAGACCCUGUUAGUUCGUGCUUAGGUCACUGCUAUCACAUUUCUAUUUGUCUAUUCCUGGACCGGAGCUCAGAUUCACAUUCCAAAUAGCCUCCUGUCUCAAGGACCAUUCUGCUGCUUACCUUCUGUAGCAUCAUGUAAAGAAACGGGGCGCUCCAAUUAAACCAUUCCAGGUGUAAAUUUCUUGCCUGGAGAGCGAAUUGAGAAAUGAAUGGGGUUCAUGAAUAUAAAUUGGGCUUUCCUUACACUUAAGUUUUCAUUUGGAAAUUGUAUGGCAUGAUUUGCUACCCACAUAAAUCUUUAUUUGCCUUAAGUGUGUUUACUGUGGGAAUCCCAGUGCACAGCUGGUAGCCCAUUGCUAUGCAUGACUGAAUAUUAAAGUUCACAAAUCAUCAGGCAGAGGGGGGCUUGGGGAGGGCGACAUCGCAGCGUCCCUGCAUCUCUGUGCUCAGCAAAGAUGAAUCACACCCUCCCGGGCCGUGUACCUUUACUGGGACGAGGCCACCCAGCCUCCUCACUCUUUUUCUCUCCUUGAAUAUUAUUUGACAGUUGCUUCCCCUUUCUACCAAGACAUUCUGUUUUCUGUAUGUCUUAACAGCUCUGUUAUCAUCAGACUUAUUUUUCCUUUCACCCCAAUUUUGGUUUCUAGAGCUGAUGUAAUAAAUGAAUCUUUCAUAGGCCACCUCAAUUUAUUUUUGAACAGACUCUGUGAAACAGAGUCAUUUUGAAGGUGACUCAAUGAAAGGAUGGUACGAUUCAAUAAGCAAAUACAUCAUCUUUAGAUGCAAGGCCACUGGACCUCUCCUGCCCUCCCCUCUCCCCUCCUUUCCUCUCCUCUUUUUGUUUACAUAAUAGCCAUGUGUGUUCUGCAACAGGACCAUUGAGGCCAACUGGGCUUUCACCAGAAGACUAAAUAUAAGUCAGACUUUUAGAAGACAUUUCUCUCAUUUUCAACCUGUACUUUGAAUCUUCAGCCAGAAAUAAGGCACCAUUACACGGACUUGGAAGUGUGCUCACAUUGCCUGCUCCUUGUUAUAGAACUAGGAAAUGGUUACCAGCCGCUCUUGUCUGGUCAACAGGGGUUCCAAGGCCUCAUGGGGGUGCAGCAGCCGCCUCAGAGUCAGGGCCUGAUGAGCAGC